CCUACGGGUGGCAGCAGUGGGGAAUAUUGGACAAUGGGCGAAAGCCUGAUCCAGCCAUGCCGCGUGUGUGAAGAAGGCCUUCGGGUUGUAAAGCACUUUCAGUGGGGAAGAAAGCCUUGGGGCUAAUACCCUCGAGGAAGGACAUCACCCACAGAAGAAGCACCGGCUAACUCCGUGCCAGCAGCCGCGGUAAUACGGAGGGUGCGAGCGUUAAUCGGAAUUACUGGGCGUAAAGCGCGCGUAGGCGGUCUGAUAAGCCGGUUGUGAAAGCCCCGGGCUCAACCUGGGAACGGCAUCCGGAACUGUCAGGCUAGAGGGCAGGAGAGGAAGGUAGAAUUCCCGGUGUAGGAGUGAAAUGCGUAGAGAUCGGGAGGAAUACCAGUGGCGAAGGCGGCCUUCUGGACUGACACUGACGCUGAGGUGCGAAAGCGUGGGUAGCAAACAGGAUUAGAUACCCGAGUAGUC
This 465-nucleotide ribosomal RNA is filed under the name Vreelandella stevensii. RNAcentral describes it as "partial 16S ribosomal RNA". It matches the Rfam family "Bacterial small subunit ribosomal RNA", at positions 338 to 795 of the family's 1533-position model. Lineage: Bacteria; Pseudomonadati; Pseudomonadota; Gammaproteobacteria; Oceanospirillales; Halomonadaceae. The record is from RNAcentral.